RNAcentral lists this unclassified non-coding RNA (365 nucleotides) under uncultured Chytridiomycota. RNAcentral describes it as "sequence contains ITS1". The stretch from base 1 to 105 matches the Rfam family "5.8S ribosomal RNA", at positions 50 to 154 of the family's 154-position model. The record is from RNAcentral. Lineage: Eukaryota; Fungi; Chytridiomycota.
GAAAUGCGAUAAGUAGUGUGAAUUGCAGAAUUCAGUGAAUCAUCAAAUCUUUGAACGCACAUUGCGCUUCCUGGUAUUCCGGGGAGCAUGCCCGUUUCAGAAUCAUUAAAUCCUCAAACCAGGUUUACUUGGUUUGGAUGUGGUGAGUCUGGGAGUUUUUCCAGUCUUACCGAAAAUGAUUGUGCAUCACCGGUGAAUCAUCCUGGUAGCUUCAACUGCAACAGAUUUAUCUAUUCAUUUGAUGACUACCAUGUUGGUGAUUGUUACUGUGUGUGCCUCAACUUAGUACACGGAGUGGCAGCUCAGUUAGAGCUGUUCUCUGAUAACUUGGUCUGAAAUCGGGCAAGAAAACCCGCUGAACUUAA